UCCUACGGGAGGCAGCAGUGGGGAAUAUUGGGCAAUGGAGGAAACUCUGACCCAGCGACGCCGCGUGCGGGAUGAAGGCCUUCGGGUUGUAAACCGCUUUCAGUAGGGAAGAAGCGAAAGUGACGGUACCUACAGAAGAAGCACCGGCUAACUAUGUGCCAGCAGCCGCGGUAAUA
Molecule: ribosomal RNA, 176 nt
Filed under: uncultured bacterium
Lineage: Bacteria
Description: partial 16S ribosomal RNA
Rfam family: Bacterial small subunit ribosomal RNA
Source: RNAcentral